AUGCUCAUGCAAGACUACUUCACGGUGUCACCUACAUAUCUACCACACCUCUUCCGGAGAAGGUUUCGAAUGCGUCGAUCCCUCUUCGUAAAAAUAGUACGAGCUUGUGAGGCCAAUUCUCGAUUUUUAACCCCAAGAAGAAAUGUCGUAGGCUUAAAGGGUUUUAGCGCAUACCAAAAAAUCUGGCAGCUAUGCAGGUAA
This 201-nucleotide ribosomal RNA is filed under the name Triticum aestivum (bread wheat). Its description in RNAcentral is "partial small subunit ribosomal RNA". The record is from RNAcentral. Lineage: Eukaryota; Viridiplantae; Streptophyta; Magnoliopsida; Poales; Poaceae.